CCGCGGUAAUACGUAGGGUGCGAGGCGUUAAAUCGGAAAUUACUGGGCGUAAAGCGUGCGCAGGCGGGCUUUUAAGCCAGACGUGAAAUCCCCGGGCUCAACUGGGAAUGGCGUUUGGUACUGGAAGUCUGGAGUGCGGCAGAGGAGACUGGAAUUCCUGGUGUAGCAGUGAAAUGCGUAGAUAUCAGGAGGAACACCGAUGGCGAAGGCAGGUCUCUGGGCUGACACUGACGCUCAUGCACGAAAGCGUGGGGAGCAAACAGGAUUAGAUACCCUGGUAGUCCACGCCCUAAACGAUGUCAACUGGUUGUUGGGGGUUUGACACUCUCAGUAACGAAGCUAACGCGUGAAGUUGACCGCCUGGGGAGUACGGCCGCAAGGUUAAAACUCAAAGGAAUUGACGGGGACCCGCACAAGCGGUGGAUUAUGUGGAUUAAUUCGAUGCAACGCGAAAAACCUUACCUACCCUUGACAUGUCCUGGAGGCCCCUGAGAGGGGGCUGUGCCCGAAAGGGAACGGGAACACAGGUGCUGCAUGGCUGUCGUCAGCUCGUGUCGUGAGAUGUUGGGUUAAGUCCCGCAACGAGCGCAACCCUUGUCAUUAGUUGCUACAUUUAGUUGGGCACUCUAAUGAGACUGCCGGUGACAAACCGGAGGAAGGUGGGGAUGACGUCAAGUCCUCAUGGCCCUUAUGGGUAGGGCUUCACACGUAAUACAAUGGCGCGUACAGAGGGCUGCGAAGGGGCGACCUGGAGCCAAUCCCGAUAAAGCGCGUCGUAGUCCGGAUUGCAGUCUGCAACUCGACUGCAUGAAGUCGGAAUCGCUAGUAAUCGCGGAUCAGCAUGUCGCGGUGAAUACGUUCCCGGGUCUUGUACACACCGCCCGUCACACCAUGGGAGUGGGUUUCACCAGAAGCCGGUCGUCUAACCGCAAGGGGGACGCCGACCACGGUGAGAUUCAUGACUGGGGUGAAGUCGUAACAAGGUAGC
Molecule: ribosomal RNA, 988 nt
Filed under: uncultured bacterium
Lineage: Bacteria
Description: bacterial SSU rRNA
Rfam family: Bacterial small subunit ribosomal RNA
Source: RNAcentral